RNAcentral lists this long non-coding RNA (1360 nucleotides) under Lactuca sativa (garden lettuce). RNAcentral's name for it is "long non-coding RNA (LSAT_LNC005162)". The record is from RNAcentral. Lineage: Eukaryota; Viridiplantae; Streptophyta; Magnoliopsida; Asterales; Asteraceae.
UCGUUCAUAGUCAUAUGUGACGAGAAGAGGAAAACGUUAUACACAUCAUGAAAGAUCAUCUUUGCAUGUACCCAUAUUUUUUGGUGAGGCAAAGUUGCAAUUUUUGUACCUUCAUAGUCAAUAACUUCAUGAAGAAAGAUUAACAUGCUAACACCUCAUGCUUCAGGCAAAAUCACAUUAAGAUGGUUAUUAAGUCCUUUCAUAUCUAUGCAAAAUCACAUUAAUAAUAAGCCCAUAACACUUUUAAGCAUACUCGUGAAUCCAAAAUUCAACAAAUCAUUUGAAAGAAAACAAAAUGGUACCCAUCACAACAAAAAUUAAUUAUGGACUUACCAUGAAGCGAAUUUCUUCUUAGGUACAUAAUCACAAGAAUAUAAGGUGAUCAAAUUAUAAAAACAAAUGUUAUAAGGAAAAAUAAUACUUAUAGAAGCACUUGGAACAACUUCAUCAUAGGGACAUACAGAAAGAAGAGAGAAGAUCCAAUCAGUUCAUGAUGAUUCAGGCAUAGGGCCGGUCCAAACAUACAUGGGGCCCGGGGCGAAAAGAAAAACAAGGCCUCUCAAAUACAAAUAUAAUAAAGAUUCAAAAAAUUAUCAUUACUCUUCAAUAUAGACGUUCUCAAUUAGAAAUAAAAAGCAAACUAAAUUGUUUAUAUUUUGAGCUAAAUUGAGUUUCAACCAACUUUAGGUCCUAAAAAUCAUUUCNNCUCUCUCUCUCUCUAUAUAUAUAUAUAUAUAUAAACUACAUAGACCAUAAAUUUUGGGACCCCUGGAGUCGUGGGCCCUGGGCGGUCGCCCGGGUUGCCCACCGUCUGGACCGGCCAUAUGCACCAUGACUAGCAAUCUUAAGCAUAACUGGACUCAUUUAUCACUGCCCCAAAAAUGAAGUACUUAUGAACAAAUGAUUUAUCCAUAAUUCUACAUCAGUGUGAUAAAGCAUAACUAAAAGGCACAAAUGAUCAAUAAAAUUUAACUGAAAGUGAUAGAUAGAACUACAAUUUUGAGAAGUACGGAAGUAAAAGAAACGUAACUGUUGAGUAAGUUACCUAAUCUGGCUGUGGUAGGUGUUCAUCCUCGGCAAGGAUUUUCUUCGGCGACGUCUGUUCCAUUCUUUAUUUCAGGAGGAAUUGAAGUACAAUUUUGAAAACAGAGGAAUUGAUGUCUAAUCCAUUCUUAUAUAGCCUUGCGUAGUGAUGGCGAUAGUGGAUUGUUAGUUGGGAGACGAAGCAGGGGAGUUAGGGUUUUCGCAGCAGAUCAUGGAAUCGAACGUGGGAGAAGAUUGAUAUCCGAUUGAAAGAAUUAUGAGAUCGUGGAGGGAAGAAGACAUUAGCAUCGAGAGUAAUCGUAAACAGUGAUUUAGA